AAUCAACGCUGGCGGCGUGCCUAACACAUGCAAGUCGAACGAGAAAGUGGAGCAAUCCAUGAGUACAGUGGCGACCGGGUGAGUAACACGUGAUCAACCUGCCCUCGAGUGGGGAAUAACUCCGGGAAACCGGAGCUAAUACCGCAUAACAUCUUCGGAACGGAAGUUCUGUGGAUCAAAGGAGCAAUUCGCUUGAGGAGGGGGUCGCGGCUGAUUAGCUAGUUGGCGGGGUAAUGGCCCACCAAGGCAAAGAUCGGUAUCCGGCCUGAG
Molecule: ribosomal RNA, 270 nt
Filed under: uncultured bacterium
Lineage: Bacteria
Description: partial 16S ribosomal RNA
Rfam family: Bacterial small subunit ribosomal RNA
Source: RNAcentral